AUUGAACGCUGGCGGCAGGCCUAACACAUGCAAGUCGAGCGGAUGAAGGGAGCUUGCUCCUGGAUUCAGCGGCGGACGGGUGAGUAAUGCCUAGGAAUCUGCCUGGUAGUGGGGGAUAACGUCCGGAAACGGGCGCUAAUACCGCAUACGUCCUGAGGGAGAAAGUGGGGGAUCUUCGGACCUCUCGCUAUCAGAUGAGCCUAGGUCGGAUUAGCUAGUUGGUGGGGUAAAGGCCUACCAAGGCGACGAUCCGUAACUGGUCUGAGAGGAUGAUCAGUCACACUGGAACUGAGACACGGUCCAGACUCCUACGGGAGGCAGCAGUGGGGAAUAUUGGACAAUGGGCGAAAGCCUGAUCCAGCCAUGCCGCGUGUGUGAAGAAGGUCUUCGGAUUGUAAAGCACUUUAAGUUGGGAGGAAGGGCAGUAAGUUAAUACCUUGCUGUUUUGACGUUACCAACAGAAUAAGCACCGGCUAACUUCGUG
Molecule: ribosomal RNA, 484 nt
Filed under: uncultured bacterium
Lineage: Bacteria
Description: partial 16S ribosomal RNA
Rfam family: Bacterial small subunit ribosomal RNA
Source: RNAcentral